UAGGGAAUCUUCCACAAUGGGCGAAAGCCUGAUGGAGCAACGCCGCGUGNGUGAUGAAGGGUUUCGGCUCGUAAAACACUGUUGUAAGAGAAGAAUGACAUUGAGAGUAACUGUUCAAUGUGUGACGGUAUCUUACCAGAAAGGAACGGCUAAAUACGUGCCAA
This 164-nucleotide ribosomal RNA is filed under the name uncultured bacterium. Its description in RNAcentral is "partial 16S rRNA". It matches the Rfam family "Bacterial small subunit ribosomal RNA", at positions 355 to 511 of the family's 1533-position model. The record is from RNAcentral.